Molecule: ribosomal RNA, 1343 nt
Filed under: uncultured bacterium
Lineage: Bacteria
Description: 16S ribosomal RNA
Rfam family: Bacterial small subunit ribosomal RNA
Source: RNAcentral
GACGAACGCUGGCGGCGUGCUUAACACAUGCAAGUCGAACGGAAAGGCCCUGCUUUUGUGGGGUGCUCGAGUGGCGAACGGGUGAGUAACACGUGAGUAACCUGCCCUUGACUUUGGGAUAACUUCAGGAAACUGGGGCUAAUACCGGAUAGGAGCUCCUGCUGCAUGGUGGGGGUUGGAAAGUUUCGGCGGUUGGGGAUGGACUCGCGGCUUAUCAGCUUGUUGGUGGGGUAGUGGCUUACCAAGGCUUUGACGGGUAGCCGGCCUGAGAGGGUGACCGGCCACAUUGGGACUGAGAUACGGCCCAGACUCCUACGGGAGGCAGCAGUGGGGAAUAUUGCACAAUGGGCGGAAGCCUGAUGCAGCAACGCCGCGUGCGGGAUGACGGCCUUCGGGUUGUAAACCGCUUUCGCCUGUGACGAAGCGUGAGUGACGGUAAUGGGUAAAGAAGCACCGGCUAACUACGUGCCAGCAGCCGCGGUGAUACGUAGGGUGCGAGCGUUGUCCGGAUUUAUUGGGCGUAAAGGGCUCGUAGGUGGUUGAUCGCGUCGGAAGUGUAAUCUUGGGGCUUAACCCUGAGCGUGCUUUCGAUACGGGUUGACUUGAGGAAGGUAGGGGAGAAUGGAAUUCCUGGUGGAGCGGUGGAAUGCGCAGAUAUCAGGAGGAACACCAGUGGCGAAGGCGGUUCUCUGGGCCUUUCCUGACGCUGAGGUGCGAAAGCGUGGGGAGCGAACAGGCUUAGAUACCCUGGUAGUCCACGCUGUAAACGGUGGGUACUAGGUGUGGGGUCCAUUCCACGGGUUCCGUGCCGUAGCUAACGCUUUAAGUACCCCGCCUGGGGAGUACGGCCGCAAGGCUAAAACUCAAAGGAAUUGACGGGGCCCCGCACAAGCGGCGGAGCAUGCGGAUUAAUUCGAUGCAACGCGUAGAACCUUACCUGGGUUUGACAUGGAUCGGGAGCGCUCAGAGAUGGGUGUGCCUCUUUUGGGGUCGGUUCACAGGUGGUGCAUGGCUGUCGUCAGCUCGUGUCGUGAGAUGUUGGGUUAAGUCCCGCAACGAGCGCAACCCUUGUUCACUGUUGCCAGCACGUUAUGGUGGGGACUCAGUGGAGACCGCCGGGGUCAACUCGGAGGAAGGUGGGGAUGACGUCAAGUCAUCAUGCCCCUUAUGUCCAGGGCUUCACGCAUGCUACAAUGGCUGGUACAGAGAGUGGCGAGCCUGUGAGGGUGAGCGAAUCUCGGAAAGCCGGUCUCAGUUCGGAUUGGGGUCUGCAACUCGACCUCAUGAAGUCGGAGUCGCUAGUAAUCGCAGAUCAGCAACGCUGCGGUGAAUACGUUCCCGGG